Molecule: non-coding RNA, 70 nt
Organism: Podarcis lilfordi (Lilford's wall lizard)
Lineage: Eukaryota; Metazoa; Chordata; Lepidosauria; Squamata; Lacertidae
Source: the annotation of a GenBank genome assembly
GGAUAGCUCAGCUGGUUAGAGUGUGGUGCUGAUAACACUGAGGUUGCAAGUUCAGUCCCUGCAAGGGACA